CUGCAAACGCCCAAUGGCCGCUGGGAAGUUACCAGUGAAGUUGUUGCCGGAAAGGUUAAGGGAUGAGAGCCUGGUGAAGCGGUCAAUAUCAUCAGGAAUGAAGCCAACGAAGAAGUUUUGAGAGAGGUUCAAGUACUGGAGCUUUGAACAAUUAAAGAGAACCACAGGGAACAUUCCAAUGAAGCUGUUGUUAAAAAAAUCAAGAACGGUCAGGUUGUCGAGGUCACAAAUGAAGGGUGGGAUCUGUCCGGCGAUAUUCAUGUUGGAAAAAUCAAGUCCAGAGACGUAGCUGUUGGUGCAGCUGACUCCUGGCCAAGUACAAUGAGAGGAAGAGAUUGAUGGGUUCCA
RNAcentral lists this unclassified non-coding RNA (348 nucleotides) under Hevea brasiliensis (rubber tree). Lineage: Eukaryota; Viridiplantae; Streptophyta; Magnoliopsida; Malpighiales; Euphorbiaceae. The record is from RNAcentral.